GUGCGGCCGACGAGUCCCAGAUAGGACGAAAUUCGCAUCCUGCAA
Molecule: non-coding RNA, 45 nt
Filed under: Trichobilharzia regenti
Lineage: Eukaryota; Metazoa; Platyhelminthes; Trematoda; Strigeidida; Schistosomatidae
Source: RNAcentral